This 984-nucleotide ribosomal RNA is filed under the name Neobacillus sp. BSR1-1. Its description in RNAcentral is "Paenibacillus sp. BSR1-1 partial 23S ribosomal RNA". It matches the Rfam family "Bacterial large subunit ribosomal RNA", at positions 1 to 978 of the family's 2925-position model. Lineage: Bacteria; Bacillati; Bacillota; Bacilli; Caryophanales; Bacillaceae. The record is from RNAcentral.
GGUUAAGUUAGAAAGGGCGCACGGUGGAUGCCUUGGCACUAGGAGCCGAUGAAGGACGGGACUAACACCGAUAUGCUUCGGGGAGCUGUAAGUAAGCUUUGAUCCGGAGAUUUCCGAAUGGGGGAACCCACUGCUCGUAAUGGAGCAGUAUCUUUACCUGAAUACAUAGGGUACUGAAGGCAGACCCGGGGAACUGAAACAUCUAAGUACCCGGAGGAAGAGAAAGCAAACGCGAUUCCCUAAGUAGCGGCGAGCGAAACGGGAACAGCCCAAACCGAAAGGCUUGCCUUUCGGGGUUGUAGGACACUCAACAUGGAGUUACAAAGGAACGGGGUAGAUGAAGCGACCUGGAAAGGUCAGCCAUAGAAGGUAAAAGCCCUGUAGUUGAAACUUCGUUCCCUCCUGAGUGGAUCCUGAGUACGGCCGGACACGUGAAAUCCGGUCGGAAGCAGGGAGGACCAUCUCCCAAGGCUAAAUACUCCCUAGUGACCGAUAGUGAACCAGUACCGUGAGGGAAAGGUGAAAAGCACCCCGGAAGGGGAGUGAAAGAGAUCCUGAAACCGUGUGCCUACAAGUAGUUAGAGCCCGUUAAUGGGUGAUAGCGUGCCUUUUGUAGAAUGAACCGGCGAGUUACGAUUACAUGCAAGGUUAAGUUGAAGAGACGGAGCCGCAGCGAAAGCGAGUCUGAAUAGGGCGUUUGAGUAUGUGGUCGUAGACCCGAAACCAGGUGAUCUACCCAUGUCCAGGGUGAAGUCCAGGUAACACUGGAUGGAGGCCCGAACCCACGCACGUUGAAAAGUGCGGGGAUGAGGUGUGGGUAGCGGAGAAAUUCCAAUCGAACUUGGAGAUAGCUGGUUCUCUCCGAAAUAGCUUUAGGGCUAGCCUCACGUUGUUAGAGUCUUGGAGGUAGAGCACUGUUUGGACUAGGGGCCCUCAUCGGGUUACCGAAUUCAGACAAACUCCGAAUGCCAAAGACUUAUCCGU